AACGAACGCUGGCGGCAUGCCUAACACAUGCAAGUCGAACGAGACCUUCGGGUCUAGUGGCGCACGGGUGCGUAACGCGUGGGAACCUGCCCUUAGGUUCGGAAUAACUCCCCGAAAGGGGUGCUAAUACCGGAUAAUGUCUUCGGACCAAAGAUUUAUCGCCUUUGGAUGGGCCCGCGUUGGAUUAGCUAGUUGGUAGGGUGAAAGCCUACCAAGGCGACGAUCCAUAGCUGGUCUGAGAGGAUGACCAGCCACACUGGGACUGAGACACGGCCCAGACUCCUACGGGAGGCAGCAGUGGGGAAUAUUGGACAAUGGGCGAAAGCCUGAUCAAGCAAUGCCGCGUGAGUGAUGAAGGCCUUAGGGUUGUAAAGCUCUUUUACCCGGGAUGAUAAUGACAGUACCGGGAGAAUAAGCUCCGGCUAACUCCGUG
This 433-nucleotide ribosomal RNA is filed under the name uncultured bacterium. RNAcentral's name for it is "partial 16S ribosomal RNA". It matches the Rfam family "Bacterial small subunit ribosomal RNA", at positions 29 to 507 of the family's 1533-position model. The record is from RNAcentral.